Molecule: long non-coding RNA, 3103 nt
Organism: Gadus morhua (Atlantic cod)
Lineage: Eukaryota; Metazoa; Chordata; Actinopteri; Gadiformes; Gadidae
Exons: 2
Source: RefSeq, a predicted model, not a curated record
UUAAAUGGAGUGCCUUACUGAGGACCUCAACAUUGCCUUGUCUGCUGCCAUUGAUUCAGUUGCUCCGAUCGUAACUAAAAAACGAACAUUGAAAAAACCAGCCCCCUGGUUUAAUGCAGAAACUGUGGUGGCCCAGCCGCUGAGCAGUGCCCCACAUGGCCACGUGGCUGCCACAAAGGCAGGCAAAGGCAGCCAAGGGGUGUGGUGCUGGAUGGGAGGUACUACUCAGGUUACCCUGCACAGGUGCGCUGAGUUAGCCCUGCAAUCAGAGGGCCAUUUUAACUCCACCAGAACAGGCUGAAGACAGACUGGCUGGUGGAGCGUGUGGAGACCAGAGACACGUUAGGCCAGUCUCGUGGUAAGAGGCCUGUUGCCAACCUUCUUGAUCACUCCAAACCUAAUUAAUGAAGUUACGUUCAAGUGGACCGAAGAGCUGUUUUGUCGGUGUGUGAAUUGUGUCGUGCUGAAACCCGAGAGAAGGCCUGCAGCUGAAGAGGAACCCCAACGACUCCAAGAGGAAACCCAAGCCGAGCUAGGGCGAAGAGGUCAGUGGCAGGGACCACAGACCCCAUUAACCUUGGUCUAUCUUUCUCUCUCUCUCUCUGGCCCCACCCCAGGAAGAGCCAGAAAGGGCACCCUGACGACAGCCGCCAACCCGGUGAAGAUUUGAGCGUGUUGCGGGUACUGGACUGGAUGCCUGGACUCUCCUCAUGGAUAACCGGCCAGAACCCCAUCACCAUUUUAAUAUGAUGUGCAUGUAUUUACCUGUAUGUCAAUUGUGGCACCCAUUGCACUCCUGACCAUCCCUGGAAGAAGGGAUCCCCUACUAUGCGUUUCUUCUCAAGAUUUCUUCCAUGCUGAUUUCAAGGGAGUUAUUUCUUGCCCGUGUGGGGGCAUGGGUAAGGGGGUUGUCAUAAAUAUUUGGCCUGUUAAGCCAUUUGAGGCUGUAAUGGUGAUUAAGGGCUAUACAAAUAAAAUUGAAUUGAAGAGAUCUUCUAUCACGAUCAUUCAAGAUUUUAUCUGACCACAUUUCUUCCUCAAAGAUGACGGUUCACCACUAUUUAUUCCAGUUUAAAUAAUGCGUUGGACAGAUCUUAACCCGAUUUUAGUAGUUUCUUCUUCUCCUGAAUAGUUUUCCUUGUUUGAUGCAGGCCAAUAAUUUAACAGUUCUGAAACAAUGACAUCUUUUCCACAACCACAGCAUAUGUCUUCUGACAUGGUUGUUUAAGAAAUAAGAAGCUAUUCACUGCAUCAGUUAGGGUUAAAUAACUUGUUGCCAACUGAAACAUAGCACUGUAGUUUUUGACUGAUGGAAGGCUCUUUCCGAUUUGCUUAGUAAAAUCCAGGUGGUGACUUUCUUUUUGGCCGGGCAGUGUAACUAGCCUCCAAAGCAGAUGAAGGAUUCUACUUACCUUAGUGGUUCAAUCUGCAUCCUCCAUCCUGGCUGGUUAUGUAAGAUAAAGCCUCUGAGGCAGUUAAGAAAGGACACUACUUUUCUGUGCAGGUACUUCCAGGCUGGCAAUGGCACCGUUGCUAGUCACGGGCAUAUAGAAAAGGAGCUAAAUCUAAUAUAACCAGCCUGAAAGGGGGAUGAACAAUGUACCAGGAGAAAAGUAGAAUCCUUUCUUAUCUGCUUAUAUUACCUACAUUAUAGGGUGCAACUCAACAAUGCAUGUCUGAAAAUGGAUCCUGACAAAAAUGUUUUGUUUUUGGGUUUUUUAUUGUUAAGUGACCAUAACAGACAGUCAUUUGGCGGUAUGAAAAAGGCAAUGAAAAGAUUCUCGCAAUAUGGCUCGAUGAAGAAGGCUUUUGAAAAGCUGAAGGUAGACAGGAACACAAUUGCCAGGACUGCUGUGAUUGCAGAGCUGUUCCUCACCUUCCCGGAUCGUUUCAAAGAGCUCAAUAGAGAGCACGAUGAUAAGAUAGUCGACUUUGCAGAGCGCUACAGGAAUGCUAUUACAAAGGAUAUGGCAGAGGUCAUAACUGAAAAUAAACAUAAGGGCAAGCUCCUCCCGAUAAUGUACCAAUAUACUUAAGGGCUUUGGUUUUAGGUUCAAAGGGGCAUGGGUUCUAGGUUUAAAGGGGCAUGAGCAAUACUGAAAGUUUGUUUAAAUCAGUGAAUAUCUCCUCACAAUCCCCUCAACAAAACAACUGUUGUUAAUGGUUGGAUUUUCUUUAAUCUAUUUUGAGCAGCCGUUUAAAAUAUUAGGUAUUUUAAUGCAACUGUUUUGUUCUUGUACUUGUUCAUUUAGGGACUGGAAAGUGUUUUUUUUAAGUGGUUCUUAUUUCAUUUUGGCCACAACUAUACAUUUUUUUGUCUUAAUGUAAAUAAAAGAGACUGUCUUGACUUAUAUUGCUUUUGUUUAGGUAUUUUCCUCAUGUAAUACCCAAAUGCUUCAUGAUACAUUUAUGAAGUUGUGACUACUGCACACUGUUGUGUGUGUAAUUAAGUGUAAUAACAUUUACUGAAAAGUCCAAAUUGUUUCACUGAGGUAAAGGGAAUAAUUCAUGACAGUAUAAUAAAGGUCUCAUGACAGUCAAUGUCAAUAUUGGCCAGUGUAGUAACUUUUAAUGACAUAUUAUUGAAAUGUCCAAAUUGUUUCACUUUACUUGAGGCCAAUAGAAUCAUUCAUGAGCCAUUGAGCCUGUUGUAAAGGCAUUAGACAGGGUAAUAACGCUUCAUGACAUGUUAUUGAAAUUUCCAAAUUGUUUCACUUUACUUGAGGCAAACAGAAUCAUUCAUGACAGUAUAGGUCUGAUGACAGUCAAUGUGAAAACCUUCCGCAUAUGACAGUUUAAUGUAAUUUUACAUAAAUCGAAAUAGUUUCUUUACAUUUGAUUAUUAAGCCUACUUUGACAUGUUUAUGACCGAUCAUGUUAUUGGUUAAUGUCAAGUCGACAUAACCAAGACAUCAACAAGAUAUUUUGCCUCAGCUUAUGUCAGGUUGUCAUAACAAAGACUUCUCAUACAAUGUCAAUGUUGCAUUAAACGUGACAUAAUUGACCGAAUGACACUUUAUGACAACAGUCAUAACUAUUCAUAAUGUUCAUGACAGGUGUCAUGUCAUGGUUAUGACAGUGUAAUGACAGUCCUAUGACAGUC